CUGUCCUUCCUCUCUCUCCUCGGCUGCUAAGUGUGUGACUAUGAGUGAGUUGGCUCGGCCCUCCCUCACGCAUCUUUGGUUCAUUGGUUGACACUGCGUGUCUGAUUGACAGGAACAACAGAUUUGUCUCUUCUGAUAUGCGAGUCGGCUCCCAACGUUCACCUACAAGAGCCGGCUCUUCGCAAACGACCCACCACUACAAGACUUCUAUUUGCCCUUCUACUGAAUGGAAACUACAAGUGUUAUUGCUGUGCUCAAUGUCAUGGCAUUUACAAACGUAGAUCCUUCUAACACCCUCAAACAGGGAAACAGAUCCCAAUCAAAGGUGUUAUCAUGCUCCACCAAGGCAGUUAUUUAUCUUAUAGCUUGUCCUUGUGGUAAAAAUGAUGUGGGUGGAACUAAGAGCGAAUUAACUCGAUGUACCCAGUUGCGACCCACUUUUUGGAAGCGGACCACUCUAUUUCGUCCCUUCGCUAUAUCAGCAUCUAACACGUCCCCUAGGAGAGGGGGGGACCUUGACAAUUUAUUGUUAAAAGGAGAGGCUGCCUGGAUAUUUAAUUUAAAGAAACUUGCUCACUUUGGUCUCAACAUAGACUUUGACCUGAAGCCAUUCUUGUGAUUAUUGUGAUUUUUCUGUUCAUUAUAAAUGUUUUGUAGGCCUAUGUAGCCACAUUGUAUUUAUGAUCGUAUAUCCAUUCAUGCUUUUUAUAUGUUCUAUUUAUAUCUGUAUAUCAACCAGUGACAUCAAGCCACGCCCGGCCAUGAUUACAGACACCUGUGUGUCCUUUCAAAUUAUAUAAAUUAGUAACCUGCAGUGUUUGUCAUUAUACCCUGAUGAAGACAGCUUGUCUGGUGAAACGUUGGUUAUUAAAUUGUUGCAUCUGCGCUCUUA
Oncorhynchus kisutch (coho salmon) is the source of this 892-nucleotide long non-coding RNA. RefSeq lists it as uncharacterized. NCBI's taxonomy places the organism in Eukaryota, Metazoa, Chordata, Actinopteri, Salmoniformes, Salmonidae. The record is from RefSeq and is a predicted model, not a curated record. The transcript has 2 exons.